GCUGGGCAUGGUGGCGCAUGCCUGUUAUCCCAGCUAUUUGGGAGGCUGAGGCACGAGAAUCUCUUGAACCCAGGAGGCGGGGGCUGCAGUGAGCCAAGACUGCACCACUGCACUCCAGCCUGGGUGACAGAGUGAGACUCUGUCUCAA
RNAcentral lists this non-coding RNA (148 nucleotides) under Nomascus leucogenys (northern white-cheeked gibbon). The record is from Rfam by way of RNAcentral. Lineage: Eukaryota; Metazoa; Chordata; Mammalia; Primates; Hylobatidae.